This 253-nucleotide ribosomal RNA is filed under the name uncultured bacterium. RNAcentral describes it as "partial 16S ribosomal RNA". It matches the Rfam family "Bacterial small subunit ribosomal RNA", at positions 524 to 776 of the family's 1533-position model. The record is from RNAcentral.
GACGUAGGGCGCGAGCGUUGUCCGGAUUUAUUGGGCGUAAAGAGCUCGUAGGCGGCUUGUUGCGUCGACUGUGAAAACCUGCGGCUCAACCCCGAGCGUGCACCCGAUACUGCCGGGCUUGAGGCAGGUAGGGGAGAUCGGAAUUCCUGGUGUAGCGGUGAAAUGCGCAGAUAUCAGGAGGAACACCAAUGGCGAAGGCAGCUCGCUGGGACGUGACUGACGCUGAGACGCGAAAGCGUGGGGAGCAAACAGG